Uloborus diversus is the source of this 1827-nucleotide RNA transcript. RefSeq lists it as uncharacterized. Lineage: Eukaryota; Metazoa; Arthropoda; Arachnida; Araneae; Uloboridae. The transcript has 6 exons. The record is from RefSeq and is a predicted model, not a curated record.
UCCUCUAAACAUGGCAUCAUGGAUUCGGAACUCUGGUAUGUGACCAGGAUAUUUAGUGAAAAAACGAACCAGAUGGAUGUGUUGUACCUGAAGCAUAAAUUGUCUUUCAUUUUAAGGACGUAUACGAAAAAAAGACACACCUUCUAUCAGCUAAAAAGUCAGAUUUUCCAUAAAAUAUGCAAAGGGUAUUUGGGGAGUGAGGUAUUGAAUGAUAGUUUUAAUAGACUCUUGACCUUUAUCGGUGGACAGCUGCCAGAAGAUGUCCAGCGUGACGCAGGCGGUACCAUCAUAACGAAUCAUAAGCAUCAAAGAUGGCGGCAGAUGGAAGAACUGACGCAUUUGAAAAUAAAGUUGAAUGCAUCUGUGCGAAGAAGUUUCUUCAGUCAUGAUUGGCUUCUGGAGAGGGUGUGUUCAGGUGAUCCUUAUCUUCUACUCGAAGAGAUUAAAUUGUACCGUAGACGCAAUCCCGAUGACAGAGAGUUUGAUAUUUUGCGAAAAUUACUACAGAUGUCUUCUUUUGCUCUGAUGCAAGACGGCAAGCAGCUGUAUUCGCAAUUGCACGGCAGAGUUCGAAACUUCUUUGCGGACUUUGAAAACAGUAUUAAAUAUCCCACCAUAAAAAGAUUAUACUUAAUGAGUGCCACACCAAAAGUGCCAAGUUUUAUAUCAAGAGGUCCUUGCCUCCGGACCAUUGCCGACGCACAAAAUCCGCACAAGUCUUUGUCUUCCAACGAGACGCAGUAUUUCAGCAAGAUAACUUGGCUGGACCAAGAUGCCAAGUAUUUUGCGACGGUUUCCAGCGAUUUGGAUAAUGUAUCCGUAUGGAGUGCUGUGCAGUUGAAGAGAGUGACCACAUUGACUGAUGUCACAUGCGUGGAGGAUCUGGUCCCGUUGCGUCAGGGCACUGCUGAGGUGCUGUUGGUUCACCACAACAGGAUGGACCUGUAUGAUCUGGCGAAGGGCACCCAGACGGCUCAGAUGGUUGAGUUAGUGGAUAUGUCCCAGAGUGCCAAAGUGCUACCCGAAGGAAAGAAGAUUCUGGCAGUUUCCGCCACGCACGAUACUUUGCUGCUAUUCGAAGUAGUCACGGGUCACGUGGCAUUUCGUAUGUCAGCAGGUGAGAAAAGGCGACUCGAGGGGCUCACCUUGAGCGGCAACGGCCACAUGUGUGUCUGUGGGGACGGUCUGCGCAAGCCCUACCCCUUACUGGCGUGGGACAUUCGCAAGGGAACUCUCCUCCAACAGAUGUCCAUCCGGCAUCACGAGUAUGUCAUCAGGUUCACUCGGGUGGACGAAGAGGGCAGGAAAGUGAUAGCAGUGGCCAAGGAUCUACUGGAUUCUUCUCCGAGCUUCGUAGUGGUUUACGACCUGGCUACUGGGGGACUGCUCUGGGAGACAAGGGCGGGGGCGAGCCUCACAGCCCUGGACUUCUGCCGGGAGAGGAACCUCGUCCUAGCAGCCACCAGUGACAGAAAGAUCCACGCCUGGGAAGGUGCCAAGGGAGCCAAAAGCUCUGCUUGAGACAGUUUUUCUACGGCAGGGGCCAGAAAAUGAGGGUGUCUGCCGCCUUAACGCUUUUUAUGCAACAAAUUCAAUCGAAGAUAGUUAUUGUAAAACUAUUUCCAGAGCUGCAGGCAUCGCUUCAAUUGAUAAAGCAUUUGAAAUGGAGUGUCGCCCCCCAGAUUUGCUCAACCCACCUCAUAUGACAUCGACACAGUGGAAUGUACUGCGGGUGGAACCUUCCUCACUUGGCACAGGCAUUCCCGGGACAGAUCGAUCAGAAUCUUCGACAUGAAAGACGGUUCAAAUGUGGCCGUUUUCACAGUA